UCGCCUCCAGUGCAGGCUAAAGUUUCUUGUUCGCAAAUUUUAAAGAGUACCUUUGGUGUACAUUUUUCUCUUCAUUUCUUCAUCUCCAAAUGUGCUUUAGUCUUAACCUAGAGGGACCACCUGUGAGUGAGAGGGUAGUUUAGUCUCCAUGCUUAUUCACUCCUUGGUCUCU
RNAcentral lists this small RNA (172 nucleotides) under Serinus canaria (Common canary). RNAcentral describes it as "TUC338 (ENSSCAG00000003119.1)". Lineage: Eukaryota; Metazoa; Chordata; Aves; Passeriformes; Fringillidae. The record is from RNAcentral.